GAGCACUUUGCCUUUGCCUGCAGGAGAAACGCUGUGCCUGGCGAUGUGUUUGCUGUCUGCUGUGCCAACUAAUGGAGCCUAAUUACUCUGGCCGACAGACAGCAGCCGUCAAGCGCAACGCGAAUCUCUGGGCCAAUAAAAAUGUAUUAGACACAACACACAUUCCCGGACUGUCAUUUAUUCUUUGUCAAAUAAACCAUAUGCUGCUGCUGCCUGCUGCUGCCUAAGCCUUUGCCUCAUCCAUCCUGCAGCAGACGCCUCUGUACACUCAUCUGCAAAGCCUUCUCCCAGCACUUGACCAGCAGGAAGAAAUAUACACAUUUCAUGGAUACCCACAGCACUCUCCUCCAGUGGUGGAGGUACGUGAGACGCAAAGGCCUGCCGGUUGGUCUGGGCAUUCCGGCAGUUCAACAGAAAUUUAGUUCACAGAAAAUCGAAACUGAGAACUGACACGAAAAUCAUUUCAAUCAACU
This 473-nucleotide long non-coding RNA is filed under the name Drosophila guanche. The record is from RNAcentral. Lineage: Eukaryota; Metazoa; Arthropoda; Insecta; Diptera; Drosophilidae.